This is a non-coding RNA of Elaeis guineensis (African oil palm), 1131 nucleotides long. The record is from RefSeq and is a predicted model, not a curated record. NCBI's taxonomy places the organism in Eukaryota, Viridiplantae, Streptophyta, Magnoliopsida, Arecales, Arecaceae.
UUAAAGACACUUGAUGCUUGGUAUCAAAAAUCUAAAAGUCUGAAAAAAGUUUACUAUGACUUCAUUGCUGCAAUACUCUAAAAGAAUUGCAAGAGAAUGAUUGAGGUUGCUAAUGAUAUUGAUAUUUCAGUGGCCAUGCCAGCCAGAGAUCUUCAAGCAACUACUGAGGUAAUCAGAGAUUGGCUUCUAACAGAUGAUGAGUUGGAUCCUUUGUAUUAUUGCUCUUUGAUGAACCACAAAUGAUUGGAUACACCAUUGGAGAAUAAUUGGAAUAUAAUCAUUUGAAAAGGUAACUCCCAAUCAUGCCCUUUCAGAAAUUUAUCAUAUUACAGUUCAGUGUUUAAAUGUUAAUUUAAUCCAAGGUUCAUUAGUAUGCUGAUGAUAUAUCCAGGUGGGGACAAUGAAUCCCCUAAGUUCAUCUGGGAAGAAUGUUGAGAAUUCUAUGAAAUUUCUAGAUUAUACAAUCCAAAGUGCUUAUGUUAUUGAUGAUGUUUGGGCCAUAAGAGUUCAUUUCUGAAUAAAAUGCAAUUAACUUUUGUCCCCUCCAUUUUAGGUGAGUAAAUUAUCAACAUUUAUGUAUUAAAAGUACCACAUAAAAAUACUACAUUCUUUACAAAUACUCUAGCAUAUUUUUUCAUGUCUAUUUUACAGGACUGGAAGUGCAUUAUCUCUAAGCUCCUGCCAAGAAGACUAUUCAAGAAAAGCCUACUCCUGCUACCAACAAUCAAAAGUUAAAUUAUACUAAAGCUCAAAGUAUGGCCAUUUAAGAGAUAAUAUUUUUAGCUAAUGCUAAUUAUAAAGGUGACAAUGACAUGCAUUCUUUGUAACUUAGAUGUUUUAAAAAUAAACUUCUUAUGGAAGUAUCUAGAAAUUUGCAAUUUAAUCUGUUGCCUCUUGUUCCAGUAACUUUCUGUUACUUCAUCGUUCAGUAGCGACAAAUGAUAUCUGUAACUUUACUCAUGCAUCUGCCUAUUUCUAAUUCAUAUACUUGUUACACUUAUGUUGGUCCAAGUUUCUUGGCCCAGCUGAACUGAACAGGUGUACCAAAAAGAAAAAGAAUGAAGACAUUUUGGUAUUAAUAAAUAAUUAUGUGCAGAUGCAUGUGCAUUAAAGCAACUAUUAUGACCAAAA